Molecule: ribosomal RNA, 486 nt
Filed under: Graeffea crouanii
Lineage: Eukaryota; Metazoa; Arthropoda; Insecta; Phasmatodea; Phasmatidae
Description: partial large subunit ribosomal RNA
Rfam family: Bacterial large subunit ribosomal RNA
Source: RNAcentral
UAAUGGCCGCGGUAUUUUGACCGUGCAAAGGUAGCAUAAUCAUUAGUCUAUUAAUUGUUGACUUGUAUGAAUGGUUUUACGAAAUAUUAGCUGUCUCAUUAUUGAUUUAUAUUUAAUUUAAAUUUUAAGUUAAAAUGCUUAAAUUUUUUUAUAGGACGAGAAGACCCUUUAGAUCUUUAUUUAUUAAUUUAUUAAUUUAUUUUAGUUUAUUUAAUUUUUAUAAUUUAAUAUUUUUUGUUGGGGUGACAUUAUGAUAUAAUUAACUCAUUUUAUUUUUAAUCAAUUAUUUUUGUUUAUAUGACCUUGUUUUAUUGUUAUAAGAUUUAGAUACCUAAGGGAUAACAGCGUAAUUCUUUUUGAGAGUUCAAAUCAACAAAGGAGAUUGCGACCUCGAUGUUGGAUUAAGAUUAUUAUUAGGUGUAGGUGCUUAAUUAUUAGGUCUGUUCGACCUUUAAAUUCUUACAUGAUCUGAGUUCAAAACCGGAG